UACGAAGGGGGCUAGCGUUGUUCGGAUUUACUGGGCGUAAAGGGCGCGUAGGCGGGCGAAUAAGUCAGGGGUGAAAUCCCAAGGCUCAACCUUGGAACUGCCUUUGAUACUGUUUGUCUUGAGUCCGGGAGAGGUGAGUGGAACUGCGAGUGUAGAGGUGAAAUUCGUAGAUAUUCGCAAGAACACCAGUGGCGAAGGCGGCUCACUGGCCCGGAACUGACGCUGAGGCGCGAAAGCGUGGGGAGCAAACAGG
This 253-nucleotide ribosomal RNA is filed under the name uncultured bacterium. RNAcentral's name for it is "partial 16S ribosomal RNA". It matches the Rfam family "Bacterial small subunit ribosomal RNA", at positions 524 to 776 of the family's 1533-position model. The record is from RNAcentral.